This 536-nucleotide long non-coding RNA is filed under the name Vigna radiata. RNAcentral describes it as "long non-coding RNA (VRAD_LNC013042)". The record is from RNAcentral. Lineage: Eukaryota; Viridiplantae; Streptophyta; Magnoliopsida; Fabales; Fabaceae.
GGGAAAUUGAGUGAAUAUAUUUAAGAAAAAAGUGUCUCUACCUGAUAAAUGGUCCCCCAUUUAUAAUCCUUACAUUCAUAACUGACCAUUAAUUACCAUAAACUGUCGUAUCUUCCGUUACUUUCCCAUCAAAACCCAUCAAUGCUUCUUUGCGCCACCAUCACUCUGACCUUAAGUCCAACCGACCGGUCACCUUGCAAAUGGGUUUUACCCCCUCCGGUUCUUCUGGUCGGUCUAACCGGACCCCUUACGCUACACAAGCCCCCCAAGCCCCAAGCGACAUCGUCAGCGAAGGGGUUUGACAACCUGCGAAAUGGGAAUCCUGGCACUGAAACGUCUCAACACCUCAGCCACCUGAUUAAACCUUCACGAAUGGUCAAGAUCUCAUUGCCCGUCAAUCAUACCUGUUCAUCGAAGAGUCACCAAUUUCCCUUGGUUAGAUCUGCCGCCUAUGGACGGCUGGGAUGAACCCCCCAAUCCAUUUUUCGCGGCUAUAAAAGGUGGAGGGUCCCCCUCCCAUUUUCUUCACUCCUUCC